RNAcentral lists this ribosomal RNA (76 nucleotides) under Alloalcanivorax venustensis. RNAcentral describes it as "Alcanivorax venustensis partial 16S ribosomal RNA". It matches the Rfam family "Bacterial small subunit ribosomal RNA", at positions 1457 to 1532 of the family's 1533-position model. Lineage: Bacteria; Pseudomonadati; Pseudomonadota; Gammaproteobacteria; Oceanospirillales; Alcanivoracaceae. The record is from RNAcentral.
CCACGGUGUGGUUCAUGACUGGGGUGAAGUCGUAACAAGGUAGCCGUAGGGGAACCUGCGGCUGGAUCACCUCCUU